GACGAACGCUGGCGGCGUGCUUAACACAUGCAAGUCGAACGGAAAGGCCCUGCUUUUGUGGGGUGCUCGAGUGGCGAACGGGUGAGUAACACGUGAGUAACCUGCCCUUGACUUUGGGAUAACUUCAGGAAACUGGGGCUAAUACCGGAUAGGAGCUCCUGCUGCAUGGGGGGGGUUGGAAAGUUUCGGCGGUUGGGGAUGGACUCGCGGCUUAUCAGCUUGUUGGUGGGGUAGUGGCUUACCAAGGCUUUGACGGGUAGCCGGCCUGAGAGGGUGACCGGCCACAUUGGGCCUGCGAUACGGCCCAGACUCCUACGGGAGGCAGCAGUGGGGAAUAUUGCACAAUGGGCGGAAGCCUGAUGCAGCAACGCCGCGUGCGGGAUGACGGCCUUCGGGUUGUAAACCGCUUUCGCCUGUGACGAAGCGUUAGUGACGGUAAUGGGUAAAGAAGCACCGGCUAACUACGUG
RNAcentral lists this ribosomal RNA (468 nucleotides) under uncultured bacterium. RNAcentral's name for it is "partial 16S ribosomal RNA". It matches the Rfam family "Bacterial small subunit ribosomal RNA", at positions 28 to 507 of the family's 1533-position model. The record is from RNAcentral.